CAGCCGCCGCGGUAAUACGUAGGGUGCAAGCGUUAUCCGGAAUUAUUGGGCGUAAAGAGCUCGUAGGCGGUUUGUCGCGUCUGCUGUGAAAACUGGAGGCUCAACCUCCAGCCUGCAGUGGGUACGGGCAGACUAGAGUGCGGUAGGGGAGAUUGGAAUUCCUGGUGUAGCGGUGGAAUGCGCAGACAUCAGGAGGAACACCGAUGGCGAAGGCAGAUCUCUGGGCCGUAACUGACGCUGAGGAGCGAAAGCAUGGGGAGCGAACAGGAUUAGAUACCCCAGUAGUCCCUGUCUCUUAUAU
RNAcentral lists this ribosomal RNA (301 nucleotides) under uncultured bacterium. RNAcentral describes it as "partial 16S ribosomal RNA". It matches the Rfam family "Bacterial small subunit ribosomal RNA", at positions 509 to 809 of the family's 1533-position model. The record is from RNAcentral.